RNAcentral lists this ribosomal RNA (422 nucleotides) under uncultured bacterium. RNAcentral's name for it is "partial 16S ribosomal RNA". It matches the Rfam family "Bacterial small subunit ribosomal RNA", at positions 360 to 774 of the family's 1533-position model. The record is from RNAcentral.
AAUUUUGGACAAUGGGGGAAACCCUGAUCCAGCCAUCCCGCGUGUAUGAUGAAGGNCUNNGUGUUNUNAAGUACUUUUGGCAGNNNNNAAAAGGUAUCUNCUAAUACGAGAUACUGCUGACGGUAUCUGCAGAUUAACCACCGGAUACCUACGUCCCAGCAGCCGCGGUAAUACGUAGGGUGCAAGCGUUAAUCGGUAUUACUGGUCGUAAAGCGUGUGUAGGCGGUUCGGAAAGAAAGAGGUGAAAUCCCAGGGCUCAACCUUGGAACUGCAUUUUUAACUGCCGAGCUAGAGUAUGUCAGAGGGGGGUAGAAUUCCACGUGUAGCAGGGAAAUGCGUAGAUAUGUGGAGGAAUACCGAUGGCGAAGGCAGCCCCCUGGGAUAAUACUGACGCUCAGACACGAAAGCGUGGGGAGCAAACA